GACUCUUAGCGGUGGAUCACUCGGCUCGUGCGUCGAUGAAGAACGCAGCUAGCUGCGAGAACUAAUGUGAAUUGCAGGACACAUUGAUCAUCGACAUUCGAACGCACUUGCGGCCGGGUUCCUCCGGGGCUACGCCUGUCUGAGCGUCG
RNAcentral lists this ribosomal RNA (149 nucleotides) under Oreochromis niloticus (Nile tilapia). RNAcentral describes it as "5.8S ribosomal RNA (ENSONIG00000041651.1)". It matches the Rfam family "5.8S ribosomal RNA". From Rfam's summary of the family: 5.8S ribosomal RNA (5.8S rRNA) is a component of the large subunit of the eukaryotic ribosome. It is transcribed by RNA polymerase I as part of the 45S precursor that also contains 18S and 28S rRNA. Functionally, it is thought that 5.8S rRNA may be involved in ribosome translocation. The record is from Rfam by way of RNAcentral. Lineage: Eukaryota; Metazoa; Chordata; Actinopteri; Cichliformes; Cichlidae.